Molecule: ribosomal RNA, 484 nt
Filed under: uncultured bacterium
Lineage: Bacteria
Description: partial 16S ribosomal RNA
Rfam family: Bacterial small subunit ribosomal RNA
Source: RNAcentral
AUUGAACGCUGGCGGCAUGCUUUACACAUGCAAGUCGAACGGCAGCGCGGGCUUCGGCCUGGCGGCGAGUGGCGAACGGGUAAGUAAUGCAUCGGAACGUGCCCAGUAGUGGGGGAUAGCUCGGCGAAAGCCGGAUUAAUACCGCAUACGACCUGAGGGUGAAAGCGGGGGAUCGUCAGCCCUCGCGCUAUUGGAGCGGCCGAUGGCAGAUUAGCUAGUUGGUGGGGUAAAGGCUUACCAAGGCGACGAUCGGUAGCUGGUCUGAGAGGACGACCAGCCACACUGGGACUGAGACACGGCCCAGACUCCUACGGGAGGCAGCAGUGGGGAAUUUUGGACAAUGGGCGAAAGCCUGAUCCAGCAAUGCCGCGUGUGUGAAGAAGGCCUUCGGGUUGUAAAGCACUUUUGGCGGGAACGAAAAGGACUGUGCCAAUACCACGGUGCGAUGACGGUACCCGCAGAAUAAGCACCGGCUAACUACGUG